Molecule: long non-coding RNA, 743 nt
Organism: Macrobrachium nipponense
Lineage: Eukaryota; Metazoa; Arthropoda; Malacostraca; Decapoda; Palaemonidae
Exons: 3
Source: RefSeq, a predicted model, not a curated record
CGCAAUAAACGAGUCCGCGCAUCUUGGCGUCACCAAGUUGUGAAGGGGGUCAGAACCCCCUUGGACAAACAUUCUUUCCCACAGCACGACUCGGUAAGGUGCCAUGGGUUCCGAGUCUGAUGGUGAUGUCUUUACUAAGACAGCUGUGUCAAAUGCUUGAUCGGAAUGAAGCCAAUCUGCCUGCCCCUGAAAGAUUGCCAAACGGGACUGAAGAUAGAUCUCCAGUCCCCUAUUUCCUCACUGGAGAUGACGCCUUCGCUUUGGAGAAUUCAUUGACAGCACAUGACCGCAUCUUUAAUUACCAACUGAGUAGGGCAAGACGUACAGUGGAGAAUGCCUUUGGUACACUAGCAAAUAGACUCAGUGUUUCACACUCCAUACAUCUUCGGCAUGGCAGUGUCGAGUUCGUGGUGUUGGCCGCUUGUGUGUUGCACAACUUAUUUUUGAAAAGACAGCCUAAUGCCGCGAAUGAGGCAGAUCAAGAAGACUCUGUGACACAUGAGGCCAUAUAUACCUGUUCACUGGAGGUCUGACGAAACUUUAUUACCGAACCUGACUCCCAGAAGCCGUCCGAGAGGAACCAUGGCUUGCAGGGCUCAACGGGAUCACCUUCGUGAUUAUUUCAACUCCCCUGCAGGCUCCGUUGAUUGGCAAAAUUCAAUUAUAUAAAACAAGAAAGUAAUAAAACAUUCCUGUAGGUACAUACUUUAUAAAAUCAAAUUGAAAUAACUUGGUAAAUAUCA